Molecule: ribosomal RNA, 482 nt
Filed under: uncultured bacterium
Lineage: Bacteria
Description: partial 16S ribosomal RNA
Rfam family: Bacterial small subunit ribosomal RNA
Source: RNAcentral
AUUGAACGCUGGCGGCAUGCCUUACACAUGCAAGUCGAACGGUAACAGGUCUUCGGAUGCUGACGAGUGGCGAACGGGUGAGUAAUACAUCGGAACGUGCCCGAUCGUGGGGUAUAACGAAGCGAAAGCUUUGCUAAUACCGCAUAAGAUCUACGGAUGAAAGCAGGGGACCGCAAGGCCUUGCGCGAACGGAGCGGCCGAUGGCAGAUUAGGUAGUUGGUGGGAUAAAAGCUUACCAAGCCGACGAUCUGUAGCUGGUCUGAGAGGACGACCAGCCACACUGGGACUGAGACACGGCCCAGACUCCUACGGGAGGCAGCAGUGGGGAAUUUUGGACAAUGGGCGCAAGCCUGAUCCAGCCAUGCCGCGUGCAGGAUGAAGGCCUUCGGGUUGUAAACUGCUUUUGUACGGAAAGAAAAGACUCUGGUUAAUACCUGGGGUCCAUGACGGUACCGUAAGAAUAAGCACCGGCUAACUACGUG